CCUACGGGAGGCAGCAGUGGGGAAUUUUCCGCAAUGGGCGAAAGCCUGACGGAGCAACGCCGCGUGGGGGAUGAAGGCCUCUGGGCUGUAAACCCCUUUUCUCAAGGAAGAAGACCUGACGGUACUUGAGGAAUAAGCCACGGCUAAUUCCGUGCCAGCAGCCGCGGUAAUACGGGAGUGGCAAGCGUUAUCCGGAAUUAUUGGGCGUAAAGCGUCCGCAGGCGGCCUAUUAAGUCUGUCGUUAAAGCGUGGAGCUCAACUCCAUUUAAGCGAUGGAAACUGGAAGGCUAGAGUGUGGUAGGGGCAGAGGGAAUUCCCGGUGUAGCGGUGAAAUGCGUAGAUAUCGGGAAGAACACCAGUGGCGAAGGCGCUCUGCUGGGCCAUAACUGACGCUCAUGGACGAAAGCCAGGGGAGCGAAAGGGAUUAGAUACCCCUGUAGUCCUGGCCGUAAACGAUGAACACUAGGUGUCGGGGGAAUCGGACCCCCUCGGUGUCGUAGCUAACGCGUUAAGUGUUCCGCCUGGGAGUACGCACGCAAGUGUGAACUAAGGAAUUGACGG
Molecule: ribosomal RNA, 561 nt
Filed under: uncultured bacterium
Lineage: Bacteria
Description: bacterial SSU rRNA
Rfam family: Bacterial small subunit ribosomal RNA
Source: RNAcentral